UACGUAGGGGGCAAGCGUUGUCCGGAAUCAUUGGGCGUAAAGCGCGUGUAGGCGGCUUAGUAAGUCUGCUCUGAAAGCCCGGGGCUCAACCCUGGGAGGCGGGUGGAUACUGCUGAGCUUGAGUCCGGAAGAGGCGAGUGGAAUUCCUGGUGUAGCGGUGAAAUGCGCAGAUAUCAGGAGGAACACCAAUGGCGAAGGCAGCUCGCUGGGACGGUACUGACGCUGAGACGCGAAAGCGUGGGGAGCAAACGGG
Molecule: ribosomal RNA, 253 nt
Filed under: uncultured bacterium
Lineage: Bacteria
Description: partial 16S ribosomal RNA
Rfam family: Bacterial small subunit ribosomal RNA
Source: RNAcentral